GUGCUCGUCCGGGCAGCACAGACCUGAAAUUGGAACGAUAGAGAGAAGGUUAGCAUGGCCCCCGCAUGAGGAUGACGCGCAAAUGGGUGAAGCAUUCCAUGUUUAA
Molecule: small nuclear RNA, 106 nt
Organism: Sorex fumeus (smoky shrew)
Lineage: Eukaryota; Metazoa; Chordata; Mammalia; Eulipotyphla; Soricidae
Source: RefSeq, a predicted model, not a curated record